UACGGGGGGAGCAAGCGUUGUUCGGAUUUACUGGGCGUAAAGGGCGCGUAGGCGGCACCGCAAGUCGACUGUGAAAUCUCCGGGCUUAACCCGGAAAGGUCAGCCGAUACUGCGGGGCUAGAGUGCAGAAGGGGCAACUGGAAUUCUCGGUGUAGCGGUGAAAUGCGUAGAUAUCGAGAGGAACACCUGCGGCGAAGGCGGGUUGCUGGGCUGACACUGACGCUGAUGCGCGAAAGCGUGGGGAGCGAACAGG
Molecule: ribosomal RNA, 253 nt
Filed under: uncultured bacterium
Lineage: Bacteria
Description: partial 16S ribosomal RNA
Rfam family: Bacterial small subunit ribosomal RNA
Source: RNAcentral